RNAcentral lists this ribosomal RNA (485 nucleotides) under uncultured bacterium. Its description in RNAcentral is "partial 16S ribosomal RNA". It matches the Rfam family "Bacterial small subunit ribosomal RNA", at positions 28 to 523 of the family's 1533-position model. The record is from RNAcentral.
GACGAACGCUGGCGGCGUGCUUAACACAUGCAAGUCGAACGGUGAAGGUGGAGCUUGCUCCGCCGGAUCAGUGGCGAACGGGUGAGUAACACGUGGGCAACCUGCCCCUCACUUCGGGAUAAAUCCGGGAAACCGGGGCUAAUACCGAAUACGACCUCCUUGGGCAUCCCGGGAGGUGGAAAGUUUUUCGGUGAGGGAUGGGCCCGCGGCCUAUCAGCUUGUUGGUGAGGUAACGGCUCACCAAGGCGACGACGGGUAGCCGGCCUGAGAGGGCGACCGGCCACACUGGGACUGAGACACGGCCCAGACUCCUACGGGAGGCAGCAGUGGGGAAUAUUGCGCAAUGGGCGAAAGCCUGACGCAGCAACGCCGCGUGCGGGAUGAAGGCCUUCGGGUUGUAAACCGCUUUCAGCAGGGAAGAAGCCGCAAGGUGACGGUACCUGCAGAAGAAGCACCGGCUAACUACGUGCCAGCCGCCGCCGUAA